UGAGGUGGCCAUGGUGGAAGGUG
Molecule: non-coding RNA, 23 nt
Filed under: Cricetulus griseus (Chinese hamster)
Lineage: Eukaryota; Metazoa; Chordata; Mammalia; Rodentia; Cricetidae
Source: RNAcentral